Molecule: ribosomal RNA, 468 nt
Filed under: uncultured bacterium
Lineage: Bacteria
Description: partial 16S ribosomal RNA
Rfam family: Bacterial small subunit ribosomal RNA
Source: RNAcentral
GACGAACGCUGGCGGCGUGCUUAACACAUGCGAGUCGAACGGAAAGGCCCUGCUUUUGUGGGGUGCUCGAGUGGCGAACGGGUGAGUAACACGUGAGUAACCUGCCCUUGACUUUGGGAUAACUUCAGGAAACUGGGGCUAAUACCGGAUAGGAGCUCCUGCUGCAUGGUGGGGGUUGGAAAGUUUCGGCGGUUGGGGAUGGACUCGCGGCUUAUCAGCUUGUUGGUGGGGCAGUGGCUUACCAAGGCUUUGACGGGUAGCCGGCCUGAGAGGGUGACCGGCCACAUUGGGACUGAGAUACGGCCCAGACUCCUACGGGAGGCAGCAGUGGGGAAUAUUGCACAAUGGGCGGAAGCCUGAUGCAGCAACGCCGCGUGCGGGAUGACGGCCUUCGGGUUGUAAACCGCUUUCGCCUGUGACGAAGCGUGAGUGACGGUAAUGGGUAAAGAAGCACCGGCUAACUACGUG